GCAGCCCUGCGAGAUGCGUGAAACCCUCAGAGUUUGAGCCAACACAAACUAAGAGGGAGCCCGGCUCUGCCGGUUGCGUGACACUUCGCCCUGAGGAGCUCGCCUCCUCCACGCGAGGCACACAAUGCCGGUGGGAGGGCACCCACUUUCCUGAUGGGUUCAUAACCCACAGGGUCAACGGUCAUCGCGGGGUCCUC
This 197-nucleotide non-coding RNA is filed under the name candidate division WS1 bacterium. Its description in RNAcentral is "6S RNA". It matches the Rfam family "6S / SsrS RNA". Rfam says of the family: E. coli 6S RNA was the first non coding RNA to be sequenced, but its function was unknown until recently. It consists of 184 nucleotides that fold into an extended hairpin structure with a large single-stranded internal bulge. The record is from RNAcentral. Lineage: Bacteria; Bacillati.